GCCUCCUCUCUGAGUCAUUUCCCCUUCCCCGCCCUAAAGACCUUGGCUUUCUCUAUGAAUCCCUUCCCUCUGGCAGGAAGCAGAGGAAGGAAAAACUGGCUUUGAGAACAAGGUGAGCGCUUUGCCCAGCGAAGAUGAGCAACGCGUCCCGCCCUCGCCUCUCCAUUCGGAGGGACAGGAAAUCGAAAGAGUUCCCUCCCGCAGAGCGGCUGUGUUCCUUAUCGUCUGAAGUCCCGGUGGCCAAGCGUGGGAGGUGCCACACCCCGCCCGGUGUCUCCUGGGAUGUGAGGAGGAAAGUGGCAGCCCGGCACACCUGGGUUUGCUGUCUUCAGACAAAGCCCACCAAGUCCAUCCUAUAAAGUCACACACGUGAGUUGGUGUGUGUCUUUCGAUCUGAAGUGAGUCUCUUGUAGGCAGCAUAUGUAAGAG
Molecule: long non-coding RNA, 429 nt
Organism: Pteropus alecto (black flying fox)
Lineage: Eukaryota; Metazoa; Chordata; Mammalia; Chiroptera; Pteropodidae
Exons: 3
Source: RefSeq, a predicted model, not a curated record